Molecule: ribosomal RNA, 301 nt
Filed under: uncultured bacterium
Lineage: Bacteria
Description: partial 16S ribosomal RNA
Rfam family: Bacterial small subunit ribosomal RNA
Source: RNAcentral
CAGUAGCCGCGGUAAUACGGAGGGUGCAAGCGUUAAUCGGAAUUACUGGGCGUAAAGCGCACGCAGGCGGUCUGACAAGUCAGAUGUGAAAUCCCCGGGCUUAACCUGGGAACUGCAUUUGAAACUGUCAGGCUGGAGUCUUGUAUAGGGGGGUGGAAUUCCAGGUGUAGCGGUGAAAUGCGUAGAGAUCUGGAGGAAUACCGGUGGCGAAGGCGGCCCCCUGGACAAAGACUGACGCUCAGGUGCGAAAGCGUGGGGAGCAAACAGGAUUAGAUACCCGCGUAGUCCCUGUCUCUUAUAC